Molecule: transfer RNA, 72 nt
Filed under: Chelonia mydas (Green sea turtle)
Lineage: Eukaryota; Metazoa; Chordata; Testudines; Cheloniidae
Rfam family: tRNA
About the family: Transfer RNA (tRNA) molecules are approximately 80 nucleotides in length. Their secondary structure includes four short double-helical elements and three loops (D, anti-codon, and T loops). Further hydrogen bonds mediate the characteristic L-shaped molecular structure. tRNAs have two regions of fundamental functional importance: the anti-codon, which is responsible for specific mRNA codon recognition, and the 3' end, to which the tRNAs corresponding amino acid is attached (by aminoacyl-tRNA synthetases). tRNAs cope with the degeneracy of the genetic code in two manners: having more than one tRNA (with a specific anti-codon) for a particular amino acid; and 'wobble' base-pairing, i.e. permitting non-standard base-pairing at the 3rd anti-codon position.
Source: Rfam by way of RNAcentral
CACAGUGUGAUCUAGGGAAUAGGGUACUGGGUUGGGACUCAGGAGACUUGGGUACAAUUCCCAGCUCUGUGA